RNAcentral lists this ribosomal RNA (450 nucleotides) under uncultured bacterium. RNAcentral describes it as "partial 16S ribosomal RNA". It matches the Rfam family "Bacterial small subunit ribosomal RNA", at positions 354 to 796 of the family's 1533-position model. The record is from RNAcentral.
GUGGGGAAUCUUCCGCAAUGGACGAAAGUCUGACGGAGCAACGCCGCGUGAGUGAAGAAGGUUUUCGGAUCGUAAAGCUCUUUCGUUAGGGACGAACGUGCUCUUUGUGAAUAAUGAGGAGUAAUGACGGUACCUAAAUAAGAAGCCACGGCUAACUACGUGCCAGCAGCCGCGGUAAUACGUAGGUGGCAAACGUUGUCCGGAAUUAUUGGGCGUAAAGCGCGAGCAGGCGGGAUAUCAAGUCUGUCUUAAAAGUGCGAGGCUCAACCUCGUGAGGGGACAGAAACUGGUAUUCUUGAGUGUCGGAGAGGAAAGUGGAAUUCCAAGUGUAGCGGUGAAAUGCGUAGAGAUUUGGAAGAACACCAGUGGCGAAGGCGACUUUCUGGACGAUGUCUGACGCUGAGGCGCGAAAGCUAGGGGAGCGAACGGGAUUAGAAACCCUUGUAGUCC